This is a long non-coding RNA of Corythoichthys intestinalis (scribbled pipefish), 900 nucleotides long. RefSeq lists it as uncharacterized. The record is from RefSeq and is a predicted model, not a curated record. NCBI's taxonomy places the organism in Eukaryota, Metazoa, Chordata, Actinopteri, Syngnathiformes, Syngnathidae. The transcript has 3 exons.
CUGCCAAAAUUCAAAAUAAAAAUAAAAAUAAAUCAAUCAAUAAAAAGCAAAAUAAAAACGAAAAUAAAUACUAAAAUAAGAAAUAUGAUACAAAAAUUAAAUAUAAAUACAAAAAUAAAUGUGGAAAUAAGUAGCUAAUUAAUUAAAAGUAGAAAUAAAAAUGAAUAUAUAUACAAAAAUAAGAAAUUACAUUAAAAAUGUAAGAAUAAAUACAAAAAUAAAUGUGGAAAUAUAUACAAAAAUAAAUAUAUUGAUUGAAAUAAAUGUCAAUCAAUAAAUAAAAACGCUUUGCCUUAUAUUGACUUAUUUCAUUGUCAGCGUCAACUUGCAAGUGGAAAUGUAAUUCAAAUGAGGAGGCGUUCCUAAGGGUGCCAUGGGUUGAACUAUUCGCUUAUUGGUUGAUCGACGUUCGAUUUCUGAAAUCUACUAGCCAUGCCUGCCACAGACGACAGAACGUGGGUCUGAAAGUCAGGGAAAUAGCCGCCCUAGUAGUCCUACUUGGUGAGAAGUGAUGGAAUAUGCAUUAUCCACCAUCGAAUGUCAAAGCAUGGUAUAAGAGUCUCUGGCUUGAAUAAUUCCACUGACAUCGCAACGUUGGAUGCUGGGUGAUUACAGGGAUCCCAGGAUCUCAUCCAAAUUCUGGGUUCAGAAUGAUGCAAGGACAUCUCUGGUUCCGACGUACAAAGGUUCAGAGACUUCGUGUGCAAGAAUCCAUGCCACGUCUGGAUCCACCGGGAAUUGUCCGCGCACUACAACUACAAACUGUUCGCCUGUGCCACCCCCCAACAGUCAAAGGCAUAGCUAUGGCAACCAUAAAAAACACCAAAUUACCAAUUUAAUACGUACCUUGUCCUCAUCCAACCGAUUGCCAGACCUUCCGUAGCCGCUUGGACUCCGACC